ACCCUGCUGCUCGCCGCCGCCGUGGUCUGCGCGGCAGCUGCAGCAGAAGCAGAUGAUCUGUUGGUGGAGCUCCAGCUGCAGCAAGACCCGUGCCCGCAGGUGGAAGACAUCGUGCGCUCUGCCGUGCAGAAGGCGGUCCGCCGGAAUAUCCAGCUCACCGCCGGCCUCCUCCGCAUCUUCUUCCACGACUGCUUCCCGCAGGUUGUGCAGUGCUUUCGAUCCGUUAGUUAAUAAUUCUCUGCAAGCAAAAGACUUAAUUCCGAAAAUGCAUGAAAAAAAUACACUACGACAUACAGGGCUGCGACGCGUCGGUCCUCCUUGCCGGCGAGCGUGACGUUCCUCCGAACGCCGGGUCGCUGCAGCCGGAGGCGCUGAAGCUGAUCGAGGACAUCCGCCGGGAGGUGCACGGCAAGUGCGGCGGGCCCAAGGUGUCGUGCGCCGACAUCCUCGCGCUCGCCACGCGGGACGCCGUCGUCGCCGCCGGCCUGCCCUUCUUCCCCAUAACCCGGGGCCGCAUGGACACCCGCACGCCCGCUCCCGACGUGCUCGGGAACCUCCCGUCGCCAUCCGACUCGGUGGGCAAUCUCCUCGACAUGUUCCGCCGCAAGGGCCUCGGCGACGACCCGCGCGUCCUGGUGGCCCUCUCCGGCGGGCACACCGUCGGCAAGACCAGCUGCGGCCUGAUCAGGGGGAACGACGAUUUCUCCAGGGCCCUGGCGGCCAACUGCUCCGCCAGCCGGAGCAGGAAGCAGAGCCUGGACGUGAUCACGCCGGACGCCUUCGACAACAGGUACUUCGUGGCGCUGAGGAACGGCAAGGGGGUGCUCGGGUCCGACCAGGGGCUGGCCGACCACCCCAGCACCAGGGACAUUGUUAGGGAUUUCGCCAACGACCAGCAGCUCUUCUUCACACAGUUCCGCGCCUCCAUGACCAAGCUCAGCCAGCUGAAAGCGCCCGCGGGUGGAAGCAGGUUCGAGAUCCGCCUCGACUGCUCCAAGCCCAACGCCCGUGUCGGAGACGAAGACGAUGCCGCCGCCGGCC
Molecule: long non-coding RNA, 1041 nt
Filed under: Setaria italica (foxtail millet)
Lineage: Eukaryota; Viridiplantae; Streptophyta; Magnoliopsida; Poales; Poaceae
Description: long non-coding RNA (SITA_LNC001747)
Source: RNAcentral